Molecule: long non-coding RNA, 603 nt
Organism: Mizuhopecten yessoensis (Yesso scallop)
Lineage: Eukaryota; Metazoa; Mollusca; Bivalvia; Pectinida; Pectinidae
Exons: 3
Source: RefSeq, a predicted model, not a curated record
AUGUCGGGUUUGUGCUUGCCGCCGGCACACUACAUUCACGCAUAUGCGCAAUUUGGCGGACGCAAAUAACAUUUUGUAUGGCUUUGCAUUUCUCUGCAGUCCGGCAAAACUUCUAAUCGAACGGCAGGUGCCGAACAUGCGGGACUUAGGGGACAUACGUAAUCAGUAGGUAGGUGCCGCCUUCCCGGCGGUAACCGGCACGCCUGAAUCAAGUUCGUCCAAAGAAAAAAGUUUACGACAUUUAUGGAAAUUGCUUUAUUUUUUUAAUUUACAUACCAUUUUCAGCCGUAACAUUAUAAUUUCAAAGGGUGAUAUGUUAUAAAUAAAUGCGCGAUCAUUCAAACAAAUAUUUCAUCCACGUUCAUAUACCGCAUGACAACGUUUACAACUUUGGAACACUUUACGACAUAACACUUUACGGCAGAAAAUGGAAAACCGGAAGAAUACAGGGUAAUGUAAGAAUACACAAAAAAUGGAAGGAGGGACAGCUGCUGAAAUACACUAUGAACUAUCUUAUCCUGGCACUUUGGCAUGUUUGAAUGUGGAAGGCCUUGAAAUUCGGAUGAAGAAGGCCAGGGAAUGUCACAGAAAUUAAAAAAAAAU